Molecule: long non-coding RNA, 2240 nt
Filed under: Bos grunniens (domestic yak)
Lineage: Eukaryota; Metazoa; Chordata; Mammalia; Artiodactyla; Bovidae
Description: lncRNA (ENSBGRG00000016281.1)
Source: RNAcentral
GUUGCAAUUACUGAGUGAAGUGACUAAAAUUCUAACAGUAAAGUUAGUUCUAUACAGACAUAUUUAUUUCAGUUCCAUGUGGGCUGGUGAAAUAAAACAGCAUAUACUAUACCCAGGGCCAUCUAGCAUGCUUAAAGUGUGACUAAAGACAGUGGAAGAAUUAUGGAAGCCUCUUUGUUCUGUCUUCUGAUACCUUGCGUCUUCAUUUUCAGAGCAAUAAGAGGUAUGAGGUCUUUUAGCUCUCUGGAGAAAGGGAACAUAUGUUCAGAAGACCAAAGGUUCACCAGCUGUGUCCACUCCAAGGACAGCCAGCCCAGCCAGAUAGAAGUAAGAGUAACUACGGGCUUCCCUGGCAAUCCAGACGAGAAGACUCCAUGCUUCCACUGCAGGGGCGUGAGACUGACCCUUGGUUGGGGAACUGAGAUCUUGUACGGCAUGUGGUGCACCCAACAGAGAGAAAGAAGAGCAACCAGAGAAAGAUCUCCGGGGACUAACAGGGUUUGCUGUUAGGGCGCUGCUCUUCUGCAGGUUCUCCACCAACUCUGCAGCCACCUGGGACUCCUGCUUAGAUUUGCUCUUUUAUACGGUCUCCCUCAGUGGUUCUGACGGAUGAUUCUGCCUAAAGCAACCAAAAUGACUCUCCAGAAAGUAGCAACAGAACUGUUUUCUUAGCUCUGCUCAACUCACAUUGAUAUCCUUUGCUAACAUCACUUCCUGCCCCACCUCACAGUUCUCUCUUGAUAUUCCAUACAUAACUUGCCUAAAAAACAUUUUUGCUCUGUUUGUCAAAUAAUCUAGAAGCCAUAAAUUCAUAUUUACCUUUCAUAGGUGAAAGACUGUGGUAAAAGUUGAGCGUUUCCGUGUUCUUUUUUUUCUAUUUCUCCUAAUUAUGAGCAUUUUAUGUAUGUUUUAGUCAAUCUAUCUAAUUUUUUUCUACAAACAAGCAAAAGUCAAUUUAUUAACUAGAAGAUAUUCAGAAAAGCCAUUCCCGACAUAGAUACUCAUUCCAUGUUAAUUAGGGAAACAACAAUACCGUAUUUCACGCUUGCUUUGCUAUCUUUUAUCUCUCUUCUUGGCCAUGGGGAAAGUGAAGAUUCUAAGGAUGAAAAGAAAAUGAUUUCGAAUUGUAAAUUAAGAUCCUUUAUCUGAUAAAUACCAAGCCAGAAAUUAGAAACCUCACCUCACAUCACACUAAGAAGUAAGUUUCUGAUGCAUUUGGGUUGAAAAAUAUCAAACCAUAGAAAAAUUAAAUAAUGUAUCAUUAACUAUUUGUCAAAUCACUGGAUGGACGGCUUCCUUAGUUUAAAAGAAACCACAGGUAUACAAAAAAAAGUGGACCAUUGACCAGAGAAUUUAAAUUUUAAGUAUGAUUUUUGCUUCAGAAGGUAGUAUGAGUCAAAAACCUGGCAGGUAGCUGGCACUCAUUGAACACUGAAUAAUUUUACUGUUUCUCCCUCCUUUCUUCCUCUUCUUCUUUAAAAGUAGUUUUAUUGAUUUAGGCUGUGCGGGGUCUUUCUUGCAGUGCGGGCUUUGGUCUCGUUUUGGUGAGCAGGGGCUCCUCCUCGGUUGUGGCACGUGGGCUUCUCAUUGCUGGGGCUUCUCUUGUCAGGAAGCGCGGGUUCUAGGCGCCUGGGCUCCGGUAGCCGCAGCUUGUGGGCUCAGUAGUUGAGGCUCCCAGGUGUUAGAGAAGCAGCUCAGUAGCUGCGGCAGGGCUUAGCUGCUCUGCAGCUUGUGGGAUCUUCCUGGACCAGGGAUCAAGCCCGUGACUCCUGUAUUGGCAAGCAGAUUUUUUACCCCUGAGCCACCUGAGAAGCCCUCCUCUCCUUUUUUCUACUUCCCCAGUCUCUUCCCUUUCUAGCCACCUUGUGAGAACGUCCCUGGUAGCUCAGAUGGUAAAGGAUCUGCCUGCAAUGCAGGAGACCUGGGUUAAUCCUUGGAUAAAGAAGAUCCCCUGGAGAAGGGAAUGGCUACCCACUCUGCUAUUGUUGCCUGGAGAAUUCCAUGGACAGAGGAGCCUGGCGGGCUAUAGCCUGUGGGGUCACAAAGAGUCAAACACAACUGUGCGACUAACACUUUCACUUAGGAGAACUUCAGAAUAUAACUAAGGUGAAUUGAAUCAUUCUUCUGAGUGCUUCGGUGCCAAAGCACAAAUUGACCAUGUAAUAAUGAGAAUUUUGCAUUUAUUGAGUGUCUGUGUGAUGAUAUAGAUUGAUUCUUUUAAUUCUUAGAAUAAUGUGGCA